CUAAUUUAAAAUUAUACUAUAGUCAACCUGUUUCGAGCGAUUGAACUUAAAUGUAUGUUAAUAGAUACCUAAUUUAUGUGGGCUUGAUAUCUAUCAAGAUAAAUUCUGUGGUCAUUUAGUUUACCACAUUACAUUGGGGAUUGUGUCAAUGUAAUGUGAGGGGGAAAUAUGUAGCGCGGCAAUUGUAUUUACGCGCCGAAUUGAUUCCAGAUGCCAGCACAUUCGUGUCCUCCCACUUAGUAUAAAUUUUAGUAGCUUCGCGAAGGGAAAAGUCUUGCUCUUCCCAUUUGCCUGUAGGCAUUGAAUACGGAAGCAGCAGGUAUUUGGGCCAUUUUCCCGUGGUCAACACAGGAUUAUUUUAAGCGGAUUGGAUUUUAUUAGAAAAAUAUAGCACGGAAAGGCACGAGGUGUUACAUCUUGGAAUCUACUUGGUUACCGCUGACUUAGAACUAUCAUGUCUACACAUGAAUAGUCACCACGAAACUUCAGGAGACACAUCCAUUGUGGGAUCGCCUUACGCUGGUGACUGCGAGGUUGUUCGGGAAGCGUUUAUCAGGAGAGGGAUCCCGGUGUAAUCAGUCGACAUCUCAAUAGCAUCGUUAUCAAAUUCAUCGUUACGCCAGUAUGAUUGUAGGUUAAAAAGAUGGUGGCUCUUUUACUCUGCCAAAAAAUUUGACCCGUUUAACGGCUCCGAAAAAAAUGUUUUAUUAUUUCUCAUUGAAAAAUUCAAAAAAGGCGCCUCAUAUAGUUUUUUAAACUACUAUAGAUCCGCGAUUUCACUAAUUUUAGGACCCGAGUUGGGGAAAAACGAUAAUAUUCAACGCUUCUUUAAGGGCAUAGUUAAACUGAGACCGGCAGCAACCAGAUACGAUUCAACCUGGGAUCCCAAGAUUAGUUUGAGAUAUUUAUCGACGUUUUAUUUAAACGAAAAGAUUACUUUGCAAAACUUAACUCUAAAACUGGUGACCUUGCUGGCAAUAUCCACGGGACAUCGAAUGCAGUCUCUGUCUCUUAUUAAUACGAGAAAUAUUUACCGGACAACCGAUAAUGUAUUGGAAAUAAAAAUUCCCAAUAUGAUUAAAAUGUCAGGUCCCGGGACAAAACAGCCGGUUCUAAGGUUACCGUGCUUUACUCAGGAAAAACCGGUCUCUGUGGCUUCAGUGUUACUAAGUUAUUAAGAGAAAACUAAAGAAUUGCGAGGAUCAAAAGUUAAACUGUUUAUUUCUUUUAAGAAACCAUAUAGAGGAGUUGGAAUACAGACUUUGAGUCGAUGGAUAAAGUUAGUUAUGUCUAAAAGUGGCAUUGAUACAAACGUUUUUUCGGCAUAUAGCACUCGACAUGCGGCGACGUCGGCAGCAAACGUUAGGGCGUCAAUAUUGACGUAAUUCGAAAAAGUGCCGGGUGGUUAAAAGACUCAAAGACAUUUGCUCGAUUUUAUGAUCGUUGUGUUUCAACGGAAAACGUGCAACGUCUUAAGGUGGAUCCUGGAUCUUUAUGGUUAAGCCUAUUUUUAUAAUUUUUAGUAAAAAGAAAUAAAACGGCUUAUCAUAAAUAUAUCCGCCGUAACUAUUGGUUCGGCAUGAAAGUAAUGAGACACUCUAGAAAA
Molecule: long non-coding RNA, 1606 nt
Organism: Cephus cinctus (wheat stem sawfly)
Lineage: Eukaryota; Metazoa; Arthropoda; Insecta; Hymenoptera; Cephidae
Exons: 3
Source: RefSeq, a predicted model, not a curated record